CAGCAGCCACGGGAAUACGAGGGGGGCAAGCGUUGUUCGGAAUUAUUGGGCGUAAAGGGCGCGUAGGCGGUUUGGCAAGUUUGGUGUGAAAUCUUCGGGCUCAACUCGAAGUCUGCACCGAAAACUGCCGGGCUUGAGUAUGGGAGAGGUGAGUGGAAUUUCCGGUGUAGCGGUGAAAUGCGUAGAUAUCGGAAGGAACACCUGUGGCGAAAGCGGCUCACUGGACCAUCACUGACGCUGAGGCGCGAAAGCUAGGGGAGCAAACAGGAUUAGAUACCCGUGUAGUCCCUGUCUCUUAUAC
Molecule: ribosomal RNA, 301 nt
Filed under: uncultured bacterium
Lineage: Bacteria
Description: partial 16S ribosomal RNA
Rfam family: Bacterial small subunit ribosomal RNA
Source: RNAcentral